Molecule: ribosomal RNA, 253 nt
Filed under: uncultured bacterium
Lineage: Bacteria
Description: partial 16S ribosomal RNA
Rfam family: Bacterial small subunit ribosomal RNA
Source: RNAcentral
UACGUAGGGUGCGAGCGUUAAUCGGAAUUACUGGGCGUAAAGCGUGCGCAGGCGGCGCGUUAAGACAGGUGUGAAAGCCCCGAGCUUAACUUGGGAAUUGCGCUUGUGACUGGCGUGCUGGAGUGUGGCAGAGGGAGGUGGAAUUCCACGUGUAGCAGUGAAAUGCGUAAAGAUGUGGAGGAACACCGAUGGCGAAGGCAGCCUCCUGGGCCAGCACUGACGCUCAUGCACGAAAGCGUGGGGAGCAAACAGG